RNAcentral lists this non-coding RNA (28 nucleotides) under Homo sapiens (human). Lineage: Eukaryota; Metazoa; Chordata; Mammalia; Primates; Hominidae. The record is from RNAcentral.
UCUGCCAACUAGAGUGGAAAAGAUGGUC